Molecule: ribosomal RNA, 546 nt
Filed under: Triticum aestivum (bread wheat)
Lineage: Eukaryota; Viridiplantae; Streptophyta; Magnoliopsida; Poales; Poaceae
Description: partial small subunit ribosomal RNA
Source: RNAcentral
AUGCAGGUAUUUAUUGCGGAUGAUGGUGAGCCAGAGGCCUCCCUCCCCGUUAGCAAUACGCCACAACCAGCGAGUCAGGAGGGCAAUGUUCAUGCGUCGGGAGGAGAGGAUCCCAAGACCCCCCUAGUCCUUGGGCUUACAGAUGUCGGCCCAGCUCACCAUGUGGUACUUCUGUUUGUCGUCCUCGCCAGCCCAGAAGAACCUCGACUGGUAUUUGUCCACCUCCUGGUGGAGGGUCUCGUGAAGGCAAUAGAAGCUCAAGAGAAACCAGAGGAGGCUCGACAGCGAAGAAUUGAUAAGGAUCACUCUAGCGGCCUUCGACAGCCAGCAGCCCCUCCAGGGUUCCACCCUGCGCUGCAUCCUAGUCACCGCCGGACGAAGCUCCGCUACAGAGAGCCGGGAGUCACUAAUGGGCACCCCCAAGUAAGUGGUGGGGAAGGUGCCCAGGCGGCAGUUAAGCCGGUCCGCAAUGGACAGGGCUUCGUCCGGGGUGUAGCCAAGGACCGGACAUCCGCCGGACAAGCUGAUAUCCGAGGACGAAGCUGA